Molecule: ribosomal RNA, 500 nt
Filed under: uncultured bacterium
Lineage: Bacteria
Description: partial 16S ribosomal RNA
Rfam family: Bacterial small subunit ribosomal RNA
Source: RNAcentral
AUUGAACGCUGGCGGCAUGCCUUACACAUGCAAGUCGAACGGCAGCACGGAGCUUGCUCAGGUGGCGAGUGGCGAACGGGUGAGUAAUAUAUCGGAACGUACCCAAGAGUGGGGGAUAACGUAGCGAAAGUUACGCUAAUACCGCAUACGAUCUCAGGAUGAAAGCAGGGGACCUUCGGGCCUUGUGCUCCUGGAGCGGCCGAUAUCUGAUUAGCUAGUUGGUGGGGUAAAGGCCCACCAAGGCAACGAUCAGUAGCUGGUCUGAGAGGACGACCAGCCACACUGGAACUGAGACACGGUCCAGACUCCUACGGGAGGCAGCAGUGGGGAAUUUUGGACAAUGGGGGCAACCCUGAUCCAGCAAUGCCGCGUGAGUGAAGAAGGCCUUCGGGUUGUAAAGCUCUUUUGUCAGGGAAGAAAAGGGAUUGGCUAAUAUCUAGUCCUCAUGACGGUACCUGAAGAAUAAGCACCGGCUAACUACGUGCCAGCAGCCGCAGUAA